This 24-nucleotide small nuclear RNA is filed under the name Arabidopsis thaliana (thale cress). RNAcentral's name for it is "snRNA_11737". Lineage: Eukaryota; Viridiplantae; Streptophyta; Magnoliopsida; Brassicales; Brassicaceae. The record is from RNAcentral.
UUUCUAAUUAUCAUUAAUAAGAAA